AGAGUUUGAUCAUGGCUCAGGAUGAACGCUAGCGGUGCGCCUAACACAUGCAAGUCGAGCGGGUUUAUUUGUGACACAGAGUAGAGAUUUAUUUCUACAUUCUGUGUCACAUGUAAUCUAGCGGCAAACGGGUGCGUAACACGUUAAUAUCUCCCCCGAAGUCAGGGAUAGCCUCGAGAAAUCGAGAGUAAUACCGGAUGGUCCCGUAAGGGUAAAGGAGCAAUUCGCUUCGGGAAGAGUCUGCGGCCUAUCAGCUAGUUGGCGGGGUAAAAGCCCACCAAGGCGAUGACGGGUAGCUGGUCUGAGAGGACGACCAGCCACAAUGGAACUGAGACACGGUCCAUACUCCUACGGGAGGCAGCAGUGAGGAAUCUUCCACAAUGGACGAAAGUCUGAUGGAGCGACACCGCGUGAAGGAUGAAGCCUUUGUUGGUGUAAACUUCUUUUCUCUCCGAAGAUAAUGACGGUAGGAGAUG
This 476-nucleotide ribosomal RNA is filed under the name uncultured Chryseobacterium sp. RNAcentral's name for it is "bacterial SSU rRNA". It matches the Rfam family "Bacterial small subunit ribosomal RNA", at positions 8 to 484 of the family's 1533-position model. The record is from RNAcentral. Lineage: Bacteria; Pseudomonadati; Bacteroidota; Flavobacteriia; Flavobacteriales; Weeksellaceae.